This 405-nucleotide unclassified non-coding RNA is filed under the name soil metagenome. RNAcentral's name for it is "partial contains 5.8S ribosomal RNA, internal transcribed spacer 2, and large subunit ribosomal RNA". The stretch from base 1 to 121 matches the Rfam family "5.8S ribosomal RNA", at positions 35 to 154 of the family's 154-position model. The record is from RNAcentral.
GAUGAAGAACGUAGCGAAAUGCGAUAAGUAAUGUGAAUUGCAGAAUUCAGUGAAUCAUCGAAUCUUUGAACGCACCUUGCGCCCUUUGGCCAUUCCGAAGGGCAUGCCUGUUUGAGUAUCAUGAACACCUCAACUCUUCAUGGUUUUCCGUGAUGAGCUUGGACUUUGGGGGUCUUGCUGGCCUAUGGUCAGCUCCUCUAAAAUAAAUCAGCUUGCCAGUGUUUGGUGGGUAUCACAGGUGUGAUAACUAUCUACGCUUGUGGUUUUCCACCAGGUAACCUUCAGCAGUGGAGGUUCGCUGGAGCUCACAGAUGUGUCUCUCCUCAGUGAGGACAGCUCUUUGAAUGUUUGAUCUCAAAUCAGGUAGGACUACCCGCUGAACUUAAGCAUAUCAAUAAGCGGAGA